CAGAAUGUGGCUAAGCAGUUAAAGCAUCUCACUUACACCGAGAAGACAUCCGUGCAAAUAGGAUCAUUCUGA
RNAcentral lists this transfer RNA (72 nucleotides) under Salmostoma bacalia (large razorbelly minnow). RNAcentral's name for it is "tRNA-Val". It matches the Rfam family "tRNA". Rfam says of the family: Transfer RNA (tRNA) molecules are approximately 80 nucleotides in length. Their secondary structure includes four short double-helical elements and three loops (D, anti-codon, and T loops). Further hydrogen bonds mediate the characteristic L-shaped molecular structure. tRNAs have two regions of fundamental functional importance: the anti-codon, which is responsible for specific mRNA codon recognition, and the 3' end, to which the tRNAs corresponding amino acid is attached (by aminoacyl-tRNA synthetases). tRNAs cope with the degeneracy of the genetic code in two manners: having more than one tRNA (with a specific anti-codon) for a particular amino acid; and 'wobble' base-pairing, i.e. permitting non-standard base-pairing at the 3rd anti-codon position. The record is from RNAcentral. Lineage: Eukaryota; Metazoa; Chordata; Actinopteri; Cypriniformes; Danionidae.